This is a non-coding RNA of Geopyxis carbonaria, 81 nucleotides long. The record is from the annotation of a GenBank genome assembly. Lineage: Eukaryota; Fungi; Ascomycota; Pezizomycetes; Pezizales; Tarzettaceae.
UCUUUGGUAGUAUAGUGGUUAGUAUACCCGCCUGUCAUAUACUGCGCGCGGGUGACCGGGGUUCAAUUCCCCGCCAGAGAG